RNAcentral lists this ribosomal RNA (247 nucleotides) under uncultured bacterium. RNAcentral describes it as "partial 16S ribosomal RNA". It matches the Rfam family "Bacterial small subunit ribosomal RNA", at positions 1245 to 1500 of the family's 1533-position model. The record is from RNAcentral.
ACGAGCUACACAGCGAUGUGAUGCUAAUCUCCAAACCAUGUCUCAGUUCGGAUCGGAGUCUGCAACUCGACUCCGUGAAGCUGGAUUCGCUAGUAAUCGCGCAUCAGCCAUGGCGCGGUGAAUACGUUCCCGGGCCUUGUACACACCGCCCGUCAAGCCAUGGGAGCCGGGGGUACCUGAAGUCCGUAACCGCGAGGAUCGGCCUAGGGUAAAACUGGUGACUGGGGCUAAGUCGUAACAAGGUAGC